Molecule: ribosomal RNA, 433 nt
Filed under: uncultured bacterium
Lineage: Bacteria
Description: partial 16S ribosomal RNA
Rfam family: Bacterial small subunit ribosomal RNA
Source: RNAcentral
AACGAACGCUGGCGGCAUGCCUAACACAUGCAAGUCGAACGAGACCUUCGGGUCUAGUGGCGCACGGGUGCGUAACGCGUGGGAACCUGCCCUUAGGUUCGGAAUACCUCCCCGAAAGGGGUGCUAAUACCGGAUAAUGUAUUCGGACAAAAGAUUUAUCGCCUUUGGAUGGGCCCGCGUUGGAUUAGCUAGUUGGUAGUGUAAAAGCCUACCAAGGCGACGCUCCACAGCUGGUCUGAGAGGAUGAUCAGCCACACUGGGACUGAGACACGGCCCAGACUCCUACGGGAGGCAGCAGUGGGGAAUAUUGGACAAUGGGCGAAAGCCUGAUCCAGCAAUGCCGCGUGAGUGAUGAAGGCCUUAGGGUUGUAAAGCUCUUUUACCCGGGAUGAUAAUGACAGUACCGGGAGAAUAAGCUCCGGCUAACUCCGUG